RNAcentral lists this non-coding RNA (26 nucleotides) under Homo sapiens (human). The record is from RNAcentral. Lineage: Eukaryota; Metazoa; Chordata; Mammalia; Primates; Hominidae.
UGCACGACGAGCACAAUCUCCAUGGG